This is a non-coding RNA of Rhipicephalus microplus (southern cattle tick), 72 nucleotides long. Lineage: Eukaryota; Metazoa; Arthropoda; Arachnida; Ixodida; Ixodidae. The record is from the annotation of a RefSeq genome assembly.
GCCGUGAUAGCUCAGUGGUAGAACAUCGAACUUGUUUUUCGGAGGUUGUAGGUUCGAUUGCUGCUCACGGCA